UGUGCUUCAGAAGAACGUUCCCCCUUUUCUUUUAAGCACUCUCUUUUUUCUUCUUUGUCUUGCCACUCUCUAUUCCAACUCCAAAAUCUAACCAUUUGUUUCCUGAAUUGAAGCUACCUAGACCUUCAGGACUCCAAGAGCUAUGUUUCUACCGAUUGAUUUUCCGUUUUCUCUAACCGGUGAUUCUAACAUUUUGGGAGUGCAAGCAAGUGGUCUAGGGUUCCUACUUGAGCUUGGUUGUCUACACUAGAGAGUGGGAAGAGUGUUCGCUGGAGCAGGCAUUGGAUGUCGAGGACCCUGCUGCUUAGAUUAGGACCAUUCAUUAUACAUCUAAUGGUAGUUUUGUAUUAACCGUUCGGUUAUAACUCUAGCUUUGUAAUAAUCGUUCGGUUAUGUACAUAGUUUUGUAGUAGUAUAAGAACUUUGUAAAGUUUUAAAUUUUAUGGGUUAUUUUGU
This is a long non-coding RNA of Vigna angularis (adzuki bean), 456 nucleotides long. RefSeq lists it as uncharacterized. NCBI's taxonomy places the organism in Eukaryota, Viridiplantae, Streptophyta, Magnoliopsida, Fabales, Fabaceae. The record is from RefSeq and is a predicted model, not a curated record. The transcript is spliced from 3 exons.